UAAGUUAGAAAGGGCGCACGGUGGAUGCCUUGACACUAGGAGUCGAUGAAGGACGGGACUAACGCCGAUAUGCUUCGGGGAGCUGUAAGUAAGCUUUGAUCCGAAGAUUUCCGAAUGGGGAAACCCACCAUACGUAAUGGUAUGGUAUCCUUAUCUGAAUACAUAGGAUAAGGAAGACAGACCCAGGGAACUGAAACAUCUAAGUACCUGGAGGAAGAGAAAGCAAAUGCGAUUUCCUGAGUAGCGGCGAGCGAAACGGAACAUAGCCCAAACCAAGAGGCUUGCCUCUUGGGGUUGUAGGACAUUCUAUACGGAGUUACAAAGGAACGAGGUAGACGAAGCGACCUGGAAAGGUCCGUCGUAGAGGGUAACAACCCCGUAGUCGAAACUUCGUUCUCUCUUGAAUGUAUCCUGAGUACGGCGGAACACGUGAAAUUCCGUCGGAAUCUGGGAGGACCAUCUCCCAAGGCUAAAUACUCCCUAGUGAUCGAUAGUGAACCAGUACCGUGAGGGAAAGGUGAAAAGCACCCCGGAAGGGGAGUGAAAGAGAUCCUGAAACCGUGUGCCUACAAAUAGUCAGAGCCCGUUAACGGGUGAUGGCGUGCCUUUUGUAGAAUGAACCGGCGAGUUACGAUCCCGUGCGAGGUUAAGCUGAAGAGGCGGAGCCGCAGCGAAAGCGAGUCUGAAUAGGGCGUUUAGUACGUGGUCGUAGACCCGAAACCAGGUGAUCUACCCAUGUCCAGGGUGAAGUUCAGGUAACACUGAAUGGAGGCCCGAACCCACGCACGUUGAAAAGUGCGGGGAUGAGGUGUGGGUAGCGGAGAAAUUCCAAUCGAACCUGGAGAUAGCUGGUUCUCCCCGAAAUAGCUUUAGGGCUAGCCUUAAGUGUAAGAGUCUUGGAGGUAGAGCACUGAUUGGACUAGGGGUCCUCAUCGGAUUACCGAAUUCAGUCAAACUCCGAAUGCCAAUGACUUAUCCUUAGGAGUCAGACUGCGAGUGAUAAGAUCCGUAGUCAAAAGGGAAACAGCCCAGACCGCCAGCUAAGGUCCCAAAGUGUGUAUUAAGUGGAAAAGGAUGUGGAGUUGCUUAGACAACUAGGAUGUUGGCUUAGAAGCAGCCACCAUUUAAAGAGUGCGUAAUAGCUCACUAGUCGAGUGACUCUGCGCCGAAAAUGUACCGGGGCUAAAUACACCACCGAAGCUGCGGAUUGAUACCAAUGGUAUCAGUGGUAGGGGAGCGUUCUAAGGACAGUGAAGUCAGACCGGAAGGACUGGUGGAGUGCUUAGAAGUGAGAAUGCCGGUAUGAGUAGCGAAAGACGGGUGAGAAUCCCGUCCACCGAAUGCCUAAGGUUUCCUGAGGAAGGCUCGUCCGCUCAGGGUUAGUCAGGACCUAAGCCGAGGCCGACAGGCGUAGGCGAUGGACAACAGGUUGAUAUUCCUGUACCACCUCUUUAUCGUUUGAGCAAUGGAGGGACGCAGAAGGAUAGAAGAAGCGUGCGAUUGGUUGUGCACGUCCAAGCAGUUAGGCUGAUAAGUAGGCAAAUCCGCUUAUCGUGAAGGCUGAGCUGUGAUGGGGAAGCUCCUUAUGGAGCGAAGUCUUUGAUUCCCCGCUGCCAAGAAAAGCUUCUAGCGAGAUAAAAGGUGCCUGUACCGCAAACCGACACAGGUAGGCGAGGAGAGAAUCCUAAGGUGUGCGAGAGAACUCUGGUUAAGGAACUCGGCAAAAUGACCCCGUAACUUCGGGAGAAGGGGUGCUUUCUUAACGGAAAGCCGCAGUGAAUAGGCCCAAGCGACUGUUUAGCAAAAACACAGCUCUCUGCGAAGCCGUAAGGCGAAGUAUAGGGGGUGACACCUGCCCGGUGCUGGAAGGUUAAGGAGAGGGGUUAGCGUAAGCGAAGCUCUGAACUGAAGCCCCAGUAAACGGCGGCCGUAACUAUAACGGUCCUAAGGUAGCGAAAUUCCUUGUCGGGUAAGUUCCGACCCGCACGAAAGGUGUAACGAUUUGGGCACUGUCUCAACCAGAGACUCGGUGAAAUUAUAGUACCUGUGAAGAUGCAGGUUACCCGCGACAGGACGGAAAGACCCCGUGGAGCUUUACUGUAGCCUGAUAUUGAAUUUUGGUACAGUUUGUACAGGAUAGGCGGGAGCCUUUGAAACCGGAGCGCUAGCUUCGGUGGAGGCGCUGGUGGGAUACCGCCCUGACUGUAUUGAAAUUCUAACCUACGGGUCUUAUCGACCCGGGAGACAGUGUCAGGUGGGCAGUUUGACUGGGGCGGUCGCCUCCUAAAGUGUAACGGAGGCGCCCAAAGGUUCCCUCAGAAUGGUUGGAAAUCAUUCGUAGAGUGCAAAGGCAUAAGGGAGCUUGACUGCGAGACCUACAAGUCGAGCAGGGACGAAAGUCGGGCUUAGUGAUCCGGUGGUUCCGCAUGGAAGGGCCAUCGCUCAACGGAUAAAAGCUACCCCGGGGAUAACAGGCUUAUCUCCCCCAAGAGUCCACAUCGACGGGGAGGUUUGGCACCUCGAUGUCGGCUCAUCGCAUCCUGGGGCUGUAGUCGGUCCCAAGGGUUGGGCUGUUCGCCCAUUAAAGCGGUACGCGAGCUGGGUUCAGAACGUCGUGAGACAGUUCGGUCCCUAUCCGUCGUGGGCGUAGGAAUUUUGAGAGGAGCUGUCCUUAGUACGAGAGGACCGGGAUGGACGCACCGCUGGUGUACCAGUUGUUCUGCCAAGGGCAUAGCUGGGUAGCUAUGUGCGGAAGGGAUAAGUGCUGAAAGCAUCUAAGCAUGAAGCCCCCCUCAAGAUGAGAUUUCCCAUAGCGUAAGCUAGUAAGAUCCCUGAAAGAUGAUCAGGUUGAUAGGUUCGAGGUGGAAGCAUGGUGACAUGUGGAGCUGACGAAUACUAAUAGAUCGAGGACUUAACCA
Molecule: ribosomal RNA, 2918 nt
Filed under: Bacillus anthracis (anthrax bacterium)
Lineage: Bacteria; Bacillati; Bacillota; Bacilli; Caryophanales; Bacillaceae
Description: bacterial LSU rRNA
Rfam family: Bacterial large subunit ribosomal RNA
Source: RNAcentral